CGUCAGCUCGUGUCGUGAGAUGUUGGGUUAAGUCCCGCAACGAGCGCAACCCUUGCCCUAUGUUGCCAGCGGAUCAUGCCGGGGACUCAUGGGGGACUGCCGGUGAUAAACCGGAGGAAGGUGGGGAUGACGUCAAGUCAUCAUGGCCCUUACGCCCAGGGCUACACACGUGCUACAAUGGCCGGUACAAAGGGCUGCAAACUCGCGAGGGUGAGCCAAUCCCAAAAAGCCGGUCCAAGUUCGGAUUGCAGUCUGCAACUCGACUGCAUGAAGUCGGAAUCGCUAGUAAUCGUGAAUCAGCUACGUCACGGUGAAUACGUUCCCGGGCCUUGUACACACCGCCCGUCACGCCAUGGAAGCCGGGAGUGCCCGAAGUCCGUGACCCAACCCUCGGGAGGGAGCGGCCGAAGGCAAGUUUGGUAACUGGGGCGAAGUCGUAACAAGGUAGCCGUAGGGGAACCUGCGGCUGGAUCACCUCCUUUCUGGA
This 487-nucleotide ribosomal RNA is filed under the name Gemmatimonadota bacterium. Its description in RNAcentral is "bacterial SSU rRNA". It matches the Rfam family "Bacterial small subunit ribosomal RNA", at positions 1053 to 1533 of the family's 1533-position model. Lineage: Bacteria; Pseudomonadati; Gemmatimonadota. The record is from RNAcentral.